UGGGUUAACCAGUUGGUCGCUUUUUAAUAAAGAGGAAAGUCCGAACUCCGCAGGAUAGAGCGCCUCAUAACAUGAGGAUCUUAGUAAAGAAUGGAUAGUGCAACAGAAAGUAUACCGCCUAAAUUUAGGUAAGGGUGAAACAGUAGUGUAAGAGACUACUAUUAUUUUUUGGAAGAAAAAUAAUCUGUAAACCCCGCUUGGAGCAAGAUUAAGUAGCCCUGCGUUAUCCGCGCAUAAGGGUGGGUGAAUUGCUUGAACAUGUUAGNGAUAAUAUGUCCAGAUGAAUGACCAAUNCUAUAUUNUAUAGUACAGAAUUCGGCUUAUAGGUUAACCCAUAAA
This 339-nucleotide RNase P RNA is filed under the name Fidelibacterota bacterium. RNAcentral describes it as "Candidatus Marinimicrobia bacterium RNase P RNA component class A". It matches the Rfam family "Bacterial RNase P class A". From Rfam's summary of the family: Ribonuclease P (RNase P) is a ubiquitous endoribonuclease, found in archaea, bacteria and eukarya as well as chloroplasts and mitochondria. Its best characterised activity is the generation of mature 5'-ends of tRNAs by cleaving the 5'-leader elements of precursor-tRNAs. Cellular RNase Ps are ribonucleoproteins. Lineage: Bacteria; Pseudomonadati; Fidelibacterota. The record is from RNAcentral.